GGACUACAGGGGUUUCUAAUCCCAUUCGCUACCCACGCUUUCGUGUUUCAGUGUCAGGAGUGGCCCAAUGUGCUGCCUUCGCUUUCGGUGUUCCCCAUGAUAUCAACGGAUUUCACCCCUACUCCAUGAGUUCCACACAUCCCUGCCAUCCUCUAGUCGCGCCGUUUCGCUCGCACAUCCGGGGUUAAGCCCCGGGUUUUAACAAGCGACUAACGCAACCACCUACACACCCUUUACGCCCAAUGAUUCCGGAUAACGCUCGGGGUACUCGUAUUACCGCGGCUGCUGGCAC
RNAcentral lists this ribosomal RNA (292 nucleotides) under uncultured bacterium. RNAcentral describes it as "partial 16S ribosomal RNA". The record is from RNAcentral.